Molecule: ribosomal RNA, 447 nt
Filed under: uncultured bacterium
Lineage: Bacteria
Description: bacterial SSU rRNA
Rfam family: Bacterial small subunit ribosomal RNA
Source: RNAcentral
CCCAGACUCCUACGGGAGGCAGCAGUGGGGGAUAUUGCACAAUGGGGGGAACCCUGAUGCAGCGACGCCGCGUGGGUGAAGGAGCGUUUCGGCGCGUAAAGCCCUAUCGGCAGGGAAGAAGGAGGACGGUACCUGACUAAGAAGCCCCGGCUAACUACGUGCCAGCAGCCGCGGUAAUACGUAGGGGGCAAGCGUUAUCCGGAUUUACUGGGUGUAAAGGGGGCGCAGACGGCAGCGCAAGCCAGGAGUGAAAGCCCGGGGCCCAGCCCCGGGACUGCUCUUGGAACUGCGCGGCUGGAGUGCAGGAGGGGCAGGCGGAAUUCCUGGUGUAGCGGUGAAAUGCGUAGAUAUCAGGAGGAGCACCGGUGGCGAAGGCGGCCUGCUGGACUGCGACUGACGUUGAGGCCCGAAAGCGUGGGGAGCAAACAGGAUUAGAUACCCUAGUAC